This 262-nucleotide unclassified non-coding RNA is filed under the name Hevea brasiliensis (rubber tree). The record is from RNAcentral. Lineage: Eukaryota; Viridiplantae; Streptophyta; Magnoliopsida; Malpighiales; Euphorbiaceae.
GCUGCAGUUGGCAAGGAGCAACAUAGAGAUUGAUUGCUGCUGCAAAUUACAUAAGAUGAUACAAGUACCUGCAACGGAACGGUUUUGAAUUUGUGUUUAUCGUCAUAAUUGGGAGUGGGUUAAUUUUUUCAUGCGAGAAUGAGCUUCAAUAGAGUCAUUUUGCAAAUGUUUUUAGCAACACAAUAUGAUUGUGGUUUUUUUUUAAAAAAAAAAAGAAAACAAAAAAGAAAAAAACUAAAUUUCAACUAUGACGAUAAACACA